Molecule: long non-coding RNA, 546 nt
Organism: Phyllostomus hastatus (greater spear-nosed bat)
Lineage: Eukaryota; Metazoa; Chordata; Mammalia; Chiroptera; Phyllostomidae
Exons: 3
Source: RefSeq, a predicted model, not a curated record
GUACCGUGGGCGAGACAGAGCAUGUGUUCUAGCAGGGCAGGCAACACGCUCACGCGUAUCUCCAACGAUUCCUAUUAUGACAAGGGCUCCCCAGAACCCGCAAGCCGGGCAGGAGGACCAAGAAUUUCAGGUCCCUCCAUGCUGUCCCGAGGGGUGUGAUUCCCUUCUGUUUUUACGGCCGGGUGGUGUUCCAUGCGCAAAGUCAUGCCAACAAUUGGGGGUACCCUUACAAUGCACUAAAACACAGGAUUGAAGACCAGGUCCUCACCGAACUGGAUUCCAACCACCUGGAACCACUGAGCUCGGCCCAUCCUCAGGGGGGAAACCGAUGACAGACAGGAAAACAGGUUUGUGGAGGGCUGGAGAGCCUGUGGUGGCCACCGACACUUCACAGCUCCACCACGGUCACCCAGCCACACCCAGGCUCCGAGACCUCCACCUCCCCAGGACAAGGGCCUGCCUGGGACCCCGAAAACCUGCCGGCUUCCCUGUCAUCCAGAGAACAACUUUCAAAAGUCCACUGGCAGGAGACAGCAGAAGGAAAUA